This 374-nucleotide ribosomal RNA is filed under the name uncultured organism. RNAcentral's name for it is "partial 16S ribosomal RNA". It matches the Rfam family "Bacterial small subunit ribosomal RNA", at positions 527 to 896 of the family's 1533-position model. The record is from RNAcentral.
GUAGGUGGCAAGCGUUGUCCGGGAAUUAUUGGGGCGUAAAGCGCGCGCAGGCGGUUCUUUAAGUCUGAUGUGAAAGCCCACGGGCUCAACCGUGGAGGGUCAUUGGAAACUGGAGAACUUGAGUACAGAAGAGGAAAGCGGAAUUCCACGUGUAGCGGUGAAAUGCGUAGAGAUGUGGAGGAACACCAGUGGCGAAGGCGGCUUUCUGGUCUGUAACUGACGCUGAGGCGCGAAAGCGUGGGGAGCAAGCAGGAUUAGAUACCCUGGUAGUCCACGCCGUAAACGAUGAGUGCUAAGUGUUAGGGGGUUUCCGCCCCUUAGUGCUGCAGCUAACGCAUUAAGCACUCCGCCUGGGGAGUACGGCCGCAAGGCUG